This 1471-nucleotide long non-coding RNA is filed under the name Suricata suricatta (meerkat). Its description in RNAcentral is "lncRNA (ENSSSUG00005004116.1)". The record is from RNAcentral. Lineage: Eukaryota; Metazoa; Chordata; Mammalia; Carnivora; Herpestidae.
CCGCAGUUCGCACUGGGAAACCAGGCAAUCGGCCCAAAUUCGAAUGCUCUCCGGGCACCACUCGGGAGGCGCGGCCCCAGGACCCCCGCCGAUCUCCGGGCCGCCGGCUCUCCAAGUCGGCCCGGGACCCAGGGAAGAAGACAGGGACAGGAAGGGACACCUAACUCUGUCCCCCUAGCGCUCACCUGCCUCCACUGUUCCCGACAGAGGCCAAGGCGGACGGCCGACCCGGGACACGCAGAACCGCGGGAGACGUGGGCAGUCUCGCCGCGCCGCCACCGCGACUCCCGGUCCGCUUCAGCCACCCGUCAAGCACUCACCCCACUUCUCCGAGCCUCAGGCCGCACCCCUACCGAGGCCGCUGAAGCUCCGGCUGAGGACCUAAUUUCUCCAUUGUGGGGACCGGCAGGCCAGGACGUGCGAGGAGACAGAGAAAAGGGACAAGACCGACACCACGGUCCCUCCUUCACGGCUUCCUCAAACCCCCGCGGAGCUGACACAUCAACAAAGAUGGCGGCGACGCUGAAGCCGGCCCCACUACAGCUGAAGAAAGCGCUCCUUGGAUAUAAGCCCACCUCACCUUUUGACGCUUCUCGUAUUAGUCAGGGGCAUAAAGCAAUAAAAGAGAAUUCGGAAUUUUGUGACUUCCCAGCUCUGAUGCGGAAACCCUGCACCUGACGUAGGAGGAAUCAGCAGGAACAGCCUACCUGCUCGUCGACAAUUCAUCUCUGAGAGAGAUUCUGGGGGUUUCCAUAACGCCGCGUUCGUGUGUACAGCGUGGCACUCAUUGCCAUUGUUUAAUAAUAAACUGUUGGUGCGUUCAUCUCUGGCACCAGGCUGUGAGCGCCUUGAGUGCGGGAAGUUCCCUAUCCCGCCUGCGGGAUGUCCUUAUAGGCAGCGUGGGGAGUGACAUGCCUGAGCUGCUCAAUAAUUAGCAACAAAAAGUGUAUUGGGGGGGAAGGGGGAAGUGUAUUGAAUACAGUUGCUUAAACGGGUCCAGGUAAGGUGAACAGUUUCAGUCCGGGGAGGUUCGGAAACCUUCUGUCCAGUGAGGUGAUGUUCUUUGGUUUAGGACUCCUUAUUCACGACUUAGGAGUGAAAAUAGUUAAUUCUGACAAGUUGUCGAAUUGAGAGUUUGUAAAGCAAUGCUAGUUCCUGUUCUGUUAAGCUUCUUUGAUAACUGCUGGGGGUGGAAACACUAAAAAAUUCAACAUCGUGUAAUUCUGUUCCUCUUUCCUUUUAACAGGAAAUAGCACCUCCUUCCUUAAAUGAAAACAGUGCAGUGAAACACACAUUGCAGUGUAAGUGUUUUAACAGUGAAGAAAUGAUUUAGCUUUAAAACAGUCAAUCAAACAUUCCUAGUGAGAUAUAUUAUUUCAAGGGAAAAUAAAAAUUUAAGCAUUUUUCACAACUCAUGGUCAGUAGUAACAUUCAUAUUGUUUCUGAAAUAUACAUAUUAAUAAUACUAAGC